This 505-nucleotide ribosomal RNA is filed under the name uncultured bacterium. RNAcentral describes it as "partial 16S ribosomal RNA". It matches the Rfam family "Bacterial small subunit ribosomal RNA", at positions 28 to 507 of the family's 1533-position model. The record is from RNAcentral.
GACGAACGCUGGCGGCGUGCCUAAUACAUGCAAGUAGAACGCACAGUUUAUACCGUAGCUUGCUACACCAUAGACUGUGAGUUGCGAACGGGUGAGUAACGCGUAGGUAACCUGCCUGGUAGCGGGGGAUAACUAUUGGAAACGAUAGCUAAUACCGCAUAAUAUUAAUUAUUGCAUGAUAAUUAAUUGAAAGGUGCAAUUGCACCACUACCAGAUGGUCCUGCGUUGUAUUAGCUAGUAGGGGAGGUAACGGCUCACCUAAGCGACGAUACAUAGCCGACGUGAGAGGGUGAACGGCCACACUGGGACUGGGACACGGCCCAGAACCCUACGGGGGGCCGCAGGAGGGAAACUUUGGAAAUGGAGGAAAGGCUGAACGAGCAACGCCGCGGGAGGGAAGGAGGGUCUCGGAUCGUAAAGCUCGGUUGUAAGAGAAGAACGGGUGUGAGAGUGGAAAGUUCACACUGUGACGGUAUCUUAACAGAAAGGGACGGCUAACUACGUG